UACGUAGGGGGCAAGCGUUGUCCGGAAUCAUUGGGCGUAAAGAGCGUGUAGGCGGCCAGAUAAGUCCGCUGUGAAAUCUCGAGGCUCAACUUCGAGCUGUCGGUGGAAACUGUCUGGCUAGAGUCCGGAAGAGGAGAAUGGAAUUCCUGGUGUAGCGGUGAAAUGCGCAGAUAUCAGGAAGAACACCUAUGGCGAAAGCAGCUCUCUGGGACGGUACUGACGCUGAGACGCGAAAGCGUGGGGAGCGAACAGG
Molecule: ribosomal RNA, 253 nt
Filed under: uncultured bacterium
Lineage: Bacteria
Description: partial 16S ribosomal RNA
Rfam family: Bacterial small subunit ribosomal RNA
Source: RNAcentral